Molecule: ribosomal RNA, 466 nt
Filed under: uncultured bacterium
Lineage: Bacteria
Description: partial 16S ribosomal RNA
Rfam family: Bacterial small subunit ribosomal RNA
Source: RNAcentral
GAUGAACGCUGGCGGCGUGCUUAACACAUGCAAGUCGAACGGAAAGGCCCUGCUUGCAGGGUACUCGAGUGGCGAACGGGUGAGUAACACGUGGGUGAUCUGCCCUGUACUUUGGGAUAAGCCUGGGAAACUGGGUCUAAUACCGAAUAUGACAAUUGUUUGGCUGCGAUUGUGGAAAGCUUUUGCGGUAUGGGAUGAGCUCGCGGCCUAUCAGCUUGUUGGUGGGGUAAUGGCCUACCAAGGCGCCGACGGGUAGCCGGCCUGCGAGGGUGUACGGACACAUUGGGACUGAGAUACGGCCCAGACUCCGACGGGAGGCAGCAGUGGGGAAUAUUGCACCAUGCGCGCAAGCCUGAUGCAGCGACGCCGCGUGGGGGAUGACGGCCUUCGGGUUGUAAACUCCUUUCGCAACCGACGAAGCCUUUUGGUGACGGUAGGUUGAGAAGAAGCACCGGCUAACUACGUG